Molecule: long non-coding RNA, 800 nt
Filed under: Anser brachyrhynchus (Pink-footed goose)
Lineage: Eukaryota; Metazoa; Chordata; Aves; Anseriformes; Anatidae
Description: lncRNA (ENSABRG00000009732.1)
Source: RNAcentral
AUGUUGAGCUUCAGGUUGAGAGCUACAAUUAGAGCCAGUGUUUAUGGUGCUGGCCAUAUGGCUCACGAUGCAAAACAGCAGCUGCAUGGGAAUCUCGAGAGGAGCCCUCCCCAAGGUCACGGCGCGCAAGGGAGCACGUGCCCACCCAGGUGGGACACAGGAGCCUGCCACCGCUUGAUCUAUGACCGCGCACGUACGGAUCGAGCACCUCUGAUGCAAACUAAUGCCAGAGCAGCUGUGGAGCACUGAUUGUGUUGCAAAGACGGAUGCUUAGCAGAGCAUCGGGGACACGGAAACAUCAGGGGUUUCUUCCUCCUUCCAGAGACCCGCUGCAAGUUCCUGAAAUUAGGAGGGAGAUGGGCUGAAGUCACCUAGGACCUUACAGUGCCUUAAAAGUAAGCUCUAGGUCAGCACUGGGAUAAAGGUUUCCCUUUUACUGGAGGGUCUUCUAGAGGGAAUUUAUCUGGGUACCACUCAUGGAGAGCCACAUGAGAUGGGGGCUUUCAUGGCAGCAAGCAUCUUGCUGUCCCAAAUCCGGGCACUUUCUGCCCAUUCUGUUUCUGCUGUGACCCUCCCCUUUCUAUCCCAAAGAUACGUGACAACAUGACCACCACUGUGGCCCCUUGUCUGAUUGAUAGUCCCAGCUGUGUCAUCCACAAACACAAGGUAAGAAAUCCCAUUACUGCAAUCACAAAUGCAUUACACCCAUAUCUAAAGAGCAGAGAUUCAUUCCAGAUUAGGUAGAUUAUUUUUUCUUAAGGAGGGACAGUGUUUAAAUCACAAAUUUUCUAUAGAAAUAG